CCUGGCUCAGAUUGAACGCUGGCGGCAGGCUAAUACAUGCAAGUCGAACGGUAACGGCAGGAAGCUUGCUUCCUGGCUGACGAGUGGCGGACGGGUGAGUAAUACCUGGGGAGCUGCCUGAAUGAGGGGGACAACACCUGGAAACGGGUGCUAAUACCGCGUAAGCCCUGAGGGGGAAAGGCCGGGCAACCGGUCGCAUUCAGAUGCGCCCAGGUGGGAUUAGCUAGUUGGUGGGGUAACGGCCUACCAAGGCGACGAUCUCUAGCUGGUCUGAGAGGAUGAUCAGCCACACUGGAACUGAGACACGGUCCAGACUCCUACGGGAGGCAGCAGUAGGGAAUAUUGCACAAUGGGGGGAACCCUGAUGCAGCCAUGCCGCGUGUGUGAAGAAAGGCCUUUGGGUUGUAAAGCACUUUCAGUAUGGAGGAAGUGAGCUGAGUUAAUAGCUUAGUUCAUUGACGUUACAUACAGAAGAAGCACCGGCUAACUCCGUGCCAGCCGCCGC
Molecule: ribosomal RNA, 505 nt
Filed under: uncultured bacterium
Lineage: Bacteria
Description: bacterial SSU rRNA
Rfam family: Bacterial small subunit ribosomal RNA
Source: RNAcentral